This 1525-nucleotide ribosomal RNA is filed under the name Parabacteroides distasonis. Its description in RNAcentral is "bacterial SSU rRNA". It matches the Rfam family "Bacterial small subunit ribosomal RNA". Lineage: Bacteria; Pseudomonadati; Bacteroidota; Bacteroidia; Bacteroidales; Tannerellaceae. The record is from RNAcentral.
ACAACGAAGAGUUUGAUCCUGGCUCAGGAUGAACGCUAGCGACAGGCUUAACACAUGCAAGUCGAGGGGCAGCACAGGUAGCAAUACCGGGUGGCGACCGGCGCACGGGUGAGUAACGCGUAUGCAACUUGCCUAUCAGAGGGGGAUAACCCGGCGAAAGUCGGACUAAUACCGCAUGAAGCAGGGAUCCCGCAUGGGAAUAUUUGCUAAAGAUUCAUCGCUGAUAGAUAGGCAUGCGUUCCAUUAGGCAGUUGGCGGGGUAACGGCCCACCAAACCGACGAUGGAUAGGGGUUCUGAGAGGAAGGUCCCCCACAUUGGUACUGAGACACGGACCAAACUCCUACGGGAGGCAGCAGUGAGGAAUAUUGGUCAAUGGCCGAGAGGCUGAACCAGCCAAGUCGCGUGAGGGAUGAAGGUUCUAUGGAUCGUAAACCUCUUUUAUAAGGGAAUAAAGUGCGGGACGUGUCCCGUUUUGUAUGUACCUUAUGAAUAAGGAUCGGCUAACUCCGUGCCAGCAGCCGCGGUAAUACGGAGGAUCCGAGCGUUAUCCGGAUUUAUUGGGUUUAAAGGGUGCGUAGGCGGCCUUUUAAGUCAGCGGUGAAAGUCUGUGGCUCAACCAUAGAAUUGCCGUUGAAACUGGGGGGCUUGAGUAUGUUUGAGGCAGGCGGAAUGCGUGGUGUAGCGGUGAAAUGCAUAGAUAUCACGCAGAACCCCGAUUGCGAAGGCAGCCUGCCAAGCCAUUACUGACGCUGAUGCACGAAAGCGUGGGGAUCAAACAGGAUUAGAUACCCUGGUAGUCCACGCAGUAAACGAUGAUCACUAGCUGUUUGCGAUACACUGUAAGCGGCACAGCGAAAGCGUUAAGUGAUCCACCUGGGGAGUACGCCGGCAACGGUGAAACUCAAAGGAAUUGACGGGGGCCCGCACAAGCGGAGGAACAUGUGGUUUAAUUCGAUGAUACGCGAGGAACCUUACCCGGGUUUGAACGCAUUCGGACCGAGGUGGAAACACCUUUUCUAGCAAUAGCCGUUUGCGAGGUGCUGCAUGGUUGUCGUCAGCUCGUGCCGUGAGGUGUCGGCUUAAGUGCCAUAACGAGCGCAACCCUUGCCACUAGUUACUAACAGGUAAAGCUGAGGACUCUGGUGGGACUGCCAGCGUAAGUUGCGAGGAAGGCGGGGAUGACGUCAAAUCAGCACGGCCCUUACAUCCGGGGCGACACACGUGUUACAAUGGCGUGGACAAAGGGAAGCCACCUGGCGACAGGGAGCGAAUCCCCAAACCACGUCUCAGUUCGGAUCGGAGUCUGCAACCCGACUCCGUGAAGCUGGAUUCGCUAGUAAUCGCGCAUCAGCCAUGGCGCGGUGAAUACGUUCCCGGGCCUUGUACACACCGCCCGUCAAGCCAUGGGAGCCGGGGGUACCUGAAGUCCGUAACCGCGAGGAUCGGCCUAGGGUAAAACUGGUGACUGGGGCUAAGUCGUAACAAGGUAGCCGUACCGGAAGGUGCGGCUGGAACACCUCCUUU